UAAGCUGCAUGGAAUCGGAAGCGGGUACGCGGAAGCGGAAGCGUUUGGAAUCGUAGAAGCGAGUUUUUAAAAAUAUUUAGGAAUCGGGUACGUGUUGGAAGCGUAUACAUAUAUGUAUUAAUAUAUAUAUAUAUAUAUAUAUAUAUAUCAUAAAAUACCAAACAUAAAAUCAUUUAGAAUAAAUUAGAUUAUAAUCAUGAUAAUAAUCAUAUAAUAAUAAAUUAGUUAAAAACGAAAUUUCAAAACCUAAAAAAAUAGGCGUUAAAGGCUUAAAGCAAAGAAGAAAUUCUUUGAGUUUUUAUAAACUUAGCAUUAUAUAUAUGUAAUAUAUAACAUAUGUUUAAUAUUAUAUAUUAGUCUUAAAUAUAUGACACAAAAAUAUAUUAAUCUAAAAUAUAAAAUUUGAAGUAUUUAAAUUACAAUAUACAAAAGUGGAAUCACAAUUAUUAUAGAAGGUAAAACAAAAGUCUUAUGAUUUUAAAAAAUAAAUUAAAAAGUUAUAUUUUGUAUUCAAGAAAAUAAGUUAGAAAGAAAAUUAGGUGUUUAAAACAUAAUUGAGUGGAAGCAAAAAUUGGGCUUCUCUGACCAAACAUAAAUUGGCCCAAAACAUGGAAAAUUAAAAAACGCACGUGGAUGAGAAUUAGUAGUCUUCUACCUUUGGAUCUACUUUUAUAAAACCACCGCAACGAGACGAAACUGACUACGAUUCCGAUAUAAAUUAAUCACGCUUCCAAUACAGAACCGCACGAUUCUAAAUCGUUUCCAAUCGCCUUUUUGUGGGAACCGCACUUCCCUUGCGAUUCCAAGCGAUUCCGACCGCUUCCGUUUCCGAUUCCGAUUCCGGAGCGGGAAUCGGAGCUUCACCGGCGAUUCCGUGCAUCGUAGGUUAUAUAUGUAUCAGUUUGGUAACGUAACUGGUAAGAUCUUGUGCAUAAAAAGACUAACUUCACGAUUCACGAACGUCAAAUUAAUGAAUAUUUGGCUUUCACAUGGAUUCAUCUAUAUUAUUUAAUAUUGUAUUAUAAAAUGAAUCAUGAAACGUCGAAAGUGUUACAAAAUUAUAACGGAAUAAACUUUUAUAUGUGAAUAUAAGUGUAUAAUGGAAAGAUAAUAUUUUAUAGAAAGAAAUAAGAGAACUAUAGAGAGAAGGAGCAGACCAGUGGAGAGGAAAACAACAUAAAGUAGAACUCUUA
Molecule: long non-coding RNA, 1193 nt
Filed under: Arabidopsis lyrata
Lineage: Eukaryota; Viridiplantae; Streptophyta; Magnoliopsida; Brassicales; Brassicaceae
Description: long non-coding RNA (ALYR_LNC002787)
Source: RNAcentral